RNAcentral lists this unclassified non-coding RNA (678 nucleotides) under Leishmania donovani. RNAcentral describes it as "gene:unknown". The record is from RNAcentral. Lineage: Eukaryota; Euglenozoa; Kinetoplastea; Trypanosomatida; Trypanosomatidae.
GGCACUAUCCGACACACACUCACCCAUGCGCACGCUCGAGGGGCUGCCACAAAUGCAGCGGGUCUUUUUGGUCCUCUUUCGCCAGCUCCUCGUCAUCCCCCAGCCUUCUCUCUCUGUGUCUCUCUCUUGCCCAGCCACACUCCUUCACGUGCACCAUUUCACUCGCUCACGACAGAAGCUUCCACGGCGAGAUAACUCCACCCAUCCAUUCUUCCCCACCCGCCCCCCCCCCUCCACCCUCACGCGAUCACAUCAACUAGCCAAGAGCAGCGAAAACGUUCUGUAAGAGGCGCGAAGAGACCCCUUCCUAACCUCACCCGCGAAAAAAGGAAAUCCGCCGGUUUAGCAGCUCGAUACGUCACCAUCUGCACUUGCAGAUACGCGCUGACGUGCACUGACACGUCUGUAGCCACGAAGAAAGGUGGAGAAGAGAACAAAACCACAAUAGAAUCAGGAAGGGUGCGAGCAAGAGAGAAAGAGCAGCCGGCCCCCAUCUUUGUGCAUCACCCGCACCGGCUCUCUUCCUCACGAUUAGUCCAUCACUUGCAGAACCUUUCGGGGUGUCCCACAGCAGUACCUCUGCUCCCCUCUUCAUCUCUGAUCGUCUUCCCUCGUAAUCACGCCACGCCCCUCCCCCCACCCACUCACACACACCCCUCGUCGCUCCUCAUACCCAAG